This 1727-nucleotide long non-coding RNA is filed under the name Nicotiana tabacum (common tobacco). Its description in RNAcentral is "long non-coding RNA (NTAB_LNC013501)". The record is from RNAcentral. Lineage: Eukaryota; Viridiplantae; Streptophyta; Magnoliopsida; Solanales; Solanaceae.
AUUCGUUUGUCAUUUUGAGUAAGAACAACUCCCACUCCUUUUCCACUUGCAUCUACUUCCACCACGAAUGGAAUAGAAAAGUUAGGUAAGGCCAGCACUGGUGCCUUUAUCAUAGCCAGCUUUAGAUUUUCAAAAGCUAGAGUAGCCUCUUCAUUCCAAACAAAAUUUCCCUUUUUGAGCAAAUUAGUUAAUGGUUUACUGAUCAAAGCAAAGUCUUUUAUGAACCUGCGAUAAUAACCGGUAAGGCCUAAAAAUCCUCUUAAUUCUUUGAUGGUUUUUGGUUAAGGCCACUGUAGCAUAGCUUCCACUUUGUUCUCAUCGGUGCUAACCCCUCUAGCACUGAUAAUGUGACCAAGAUAUUCCACCUUUGAUUGAGCAAAACUACACUUGGAUUUCUUGGCUAGCAAUUUGUUAGACCUCAACAGAUCAAAAACAAUUUCCAAAUGAGUUACAUGUUCCUUUAGGUCAGCACUGUAAAUAUGAAUAUUAUCAAAAAAAGACUAGCACGAACUUCCUGAGAUAGGGUCCAAAAAUGUGAUGCAUCAGGGCUUGGAAUGUGGCUGGUGCAUUAGUGAGCCCAAAUGGCAUCACCUUAAAUUCCCAUAGCCCAUGAUGAGUUCGAAAAGUCGUUUUUGGCACAUCACUUUCUUUCAUCCUAAUUUGAUGGUAGCCGGACCUCAAGUCUAGCUUAAAAAAAUAUUGGGCACCAUAUAACUCGUCCAACAAGUCUUACACCACUGGUAUAGGAUAUAUUUUUUACUGUGAUCUCGUUUAACCUUCGAUAAUCCAUGCAUAACCUCCAACUAGAGUCUUUCUUUUUUACCAGUAGAACUGGAGAAGCAAAUGGGGAAACACUGGUGGUUACUGUUUGAGCCUUAAGCAUUUCUGCCACAAUCUCUUCUAUCGCAUUUUUUUGCUCAAAAGAGUAGCGAUAAGGUCUGAGAUUGAAUGGGUUGGAUCCAGGGAUUAGUUCAAUGGAGUGAUCACAUUCACGAGCUGAAGAAAGUUCAGUGGGCUCUUUGAACAAUUCUGGAUAGCGGUCCAAUAAAAUUUAUAUUUCUUCUGGAAUGGGCUUGUCAAUACCCUUGGCCUCUACCAUCAUUAAUUGCGCCACAUAAUUGCAUUGACCUUUAUGCAGUAGGUUCCACAUUUCCUUGGCUUCCAAUGUCUUUAAUUUGUCUGGAUUGGUAUCACUGAGCAGGUGAAUCACUUGGGAAUCUCUGAUGAAUGAAAUUCCUAAGGGUUUGGUAUUUAACAUAAUUAGAGCUACUGAAUCAAUCCAGUCCAUGCCCAACACUAAAUCACAACCAUCAAUCUCAAGCAAACGAAGAUCAAACAUAAAUUCGACCUCUUGCAUUUGCCACUUAAAAUUGUGACAAAUUUGAGUGCUUAGAAUGAACUGACCAUUAGCUCCUUCACUCUCAUUGGUUUAGGCAAAUUUUCCACCUUAGCUGAGAGUAAUUUAGCGACGCGUGGGUCCACGAAGCUAUGGUGGACCCACAUUCAAUUAGCACUAAAAACCUCUGUUUCUUGGCCCAACCAAUGAUUUUAAUGGUUGAUGGUGAUUUACUGUGGCCCAAUAAAACCAUCAAUGACAAUUCCCCUUGGUUUUGGGCUUCUGGUCCAACAUCUUGCACUGGCUCAAUGAGCUCCUCUUGAGUAUCACAAAAUUCCUCCCUUUCCAUUGCAUGGAGCAUUUUGGGCUUGCAUUGGUGACCUGGGGCAUA